AAUAUUGCACAAUGGAGGGAACUCUGAUGCAGCAACGCCGCGUGAGUGAAGAAGGUUUUCGGAUCGUAAAGCUCUGUCCUUGGGGAAGAAGGUCUUCGGACUUGACGGUACCUAAGGAGGAAGCCCCGGCUAACUACGUGCCAGCAGCCGCGGUAAUACGUAGGGGGCGAGCGUUAUCCGGAAUUAUUGGGCGUAAAGGGUGCGUAGGCGGCCUUUUAAGUCAGGUGUGAAAGGCUACGGCUUAACCGUAGUUAGCAUUUGAAACUAAAAGGCUUGAGUGCAGGAGAGGAGAGUGGAAUUCCUAGUGUAGCGGUGAAAUGCGUAGAUAUUAGGAGGGACACCAGUGGCGAAGGCGACUCUCUGGACUGCAACUGACGCUGAGGCACGAAAGCGUGGGGAGCGAACA
Molecule: ribosomal RNA, 406 nt
Filed under: uncultured bacterium
Lineage: Bacteria
Description: partial 16S ribosomal RNA
Rfam family: Bacterial small subunit ribosomal RNA
Source: RNAcentral